AUAGAUUGCUUAAUUGCUUGUAAACAUAUAAUUGCUUACAAUUAUCUGUGUAGAACACCCUCUGAAGUAACAGAACAUAUACUUUAAUUUAUGGAGUUACCAAUAAUAGUACCUUGGACUCAUCCAACAAAUCCUCCCAGUUCAUCAGAGCAAACAGCACUUAGGGAUGGUACAAAGCCACUCUGUCAAAACCAUGUUGCCCCAGUCUGUUCAUUUUGUCUGUUUUCCAGAACUUUCCAUCCGAAUUCUCCGGUAAAUCAGAUGAAGCAGAGGUGCCUUCACCAAGAUGUCUGGGCUGAGAUGGCACUGGAAGAAGGAUCUGUGCAGAAAAUUUCCCACUGCUGAGUGGUUUCCAGGAGCUCAGAGAGGACCUGGAGGCCACUUCAAGUUGCACUCAGGCAUUUCCAGGAUGCCCUUCAGGAAAAGCUUCCUUACUUUCCUCUGAAUAGGAGCAGAUUUAGGUCUUCACCCAGAGUCUGUCAAUACUUCAGGAAGGCAAGGAAGUUUUCCCGCACAAAAGGGGCUUUUUGCAUCCAAAUUCCCUUUUAUCCUCUCUCGUGAAGUGCUUAUUUUACUUUUUCUCUGCUCUACAACAAAAUCUCUUGGAGAACUGUCUCUCUGUGAAAGUCAUGGUGUCCCUGCCUUCCCUCACAAAUUGUGUAGGACCCAGUAAAUCAUCUCAUGGGUUUGGGAGCUGCAGUGGUUGUAGCAAAUACUUUUGAGACCAUUUCAGAGGAGGAAAACAGGGAAAUAAUUCUGGGAAGAUGAGGUACCUGGGCGUUUGAAUGCUCAAACUUUGAAUACAAAUGCGAUCCCCUGUGUGGAUUUCAGUCUAUUCCCCAACCCUCAAACGAUUUCAGUGGCUUAAUAACAUUUCUCCACAAUUUACCCAAGAAAGCCUGGAACUCUAUUUCAUAAACUUUAACUGCAAGCCAGAAAUAAAUUGGGAUCCAAGACUCA
RNAcentral lists this long non-coding RNA (960 nucleotides) under Parus major (Great Tit). Its description in RNAcentral is "lncRNA (ENSPMJG00000014249.1)". The record is from RNAcentral. Lineage: Eukaryota; Metazoa; Chordata; Aves; Passeriformes; Paridae.